UGUGUAGUGCCUGAUUAAAGGACAAUUUUGAUAGAAUUGAUCAUGUGUUUAAGACACCUCCACAA
Molecule: transfer RNA, 65 nt
Filed under: Callosobruchus analis
Lineage: Eukaryota; Metazoa; Arthropoda; Insecta; Coleoptera; Chrysomelidae
Description: tRNA-Ile
Source: RNAcentral